Oesophagostomum dentatum (nodular worm) is the source of this 46-nucleotide non-coding RNA. Lineage: Eukaryota; Metazoa; Nematoda; Chromadorea; Rhabditida; Strongylidae. The record is from Rfam.
CCAACGGCCCUCUUUAGGGCCACAAACGAAGAACGAAUACUCCUUU